UGGGGAAUCUUGCACAAUGGGCGAAAGCCUGAUGCAGCAACGCCGCGUGUGUGAUGAAGGUCUUCGGAUUGUAAAGCACUUUCGACCGGGACGAAAACCCGUGAGCUAACAUCUCACGGCUUGACGGUACCGGGAGAAGAAGCACCGGCUAACUCUGUGCCAGCAGCCGCGGUAAUACAGAGGGUGCAAGCGUUGUUCGGAAUUAUUGGGCGUAAAGCGCGUGUAGGCGGCUUUGCAAGUCGGGUGUGAAAGCCCUCGGCUCAACCGAGGAAGUGCGCCCGAAACUGCUUAGCUUGAGUGUCGGAGAGGAUAGCGGAAUUCCCCAAGUAGAGGUGAAAUUCGUAGAUAUGGGGAGGAACACCGGUGGCGAAGGCGGCUAUCUGGACGAUAACUGACGCUGAGACGCGAAAGCGUGGGUAGCAAACAGG
RNAcentral lists this ribosomal RNA (428 nucleotides) under uncultured bacterium. RNAcentral's name for it is "bacterial SSU rRNA". It matches the Rfam family "Bacterial small subunit ribosomal RNA", at positions 355 to 776 of the family's 1533-position model. The record is from RNAcentral.